GUGUCAGCAGCCGCGGUAAGACGAGGGGUCCAAGCGUUGUUCGGAAUCAUUGGGCGUAAAGCGGGUGUAGGUGGCUCUAUAAGUCAGGAGUGAAAGCCCCGAGCUUAACUCGGGAAGUGCUUUUGAUACUGUAGAGCUUGAGUGUGGGAGAGGAUCGUGGAAUUCCAGGUGUAGUGGUGAAACACGUAGAUAUCUGGAGGAACACCGGUGGCGAAGGCGGCGAUCUGGCCCAACACUGACACUGAGACCCGAAAGCAUGGGGAUCAAACAGGAUUAGAAACCCUGGUAGUCC
This 292-nucleotide ribosomal RNA is filed under the name uncultured bacterium. RNAcentral describes it as "partial 16S ribosomal RNA". It matches the Rfam family "Bacterial small subunit ribosomal RNA", at positions 505 to 796 of the family's 1533-position model. The record is from RNAcentral.